ACACGUAGGGGGCGAGCGUUGUUCGGAAUCAUUGGGCGUAAAGGGCGUGCAGGCGGUCCUGCAAGUCCGGCGUGAAAGACCCCGGCCCAACCGGGGGGACGCGCUGGAAACUGCGGGGCUUGAGUACAGGAGGGGAUGCCGGAAUUCCAGGUGUAGGGGUGGAAUCUGUAUCUAUCUGGAAGAUCACCAAUGGCGAAGGCAGGCACCUGGACAUGUACUGAAGCUGAUACGCGAAGGUGCGGGGAGCAAACAGGUUUAGAGACCCUGGUAGUCCGCACAGUAAACGAUGUGCACCAGGUGGUGGGGGGUCGACCCUCGGUACCGUAGCUAACGCAUUAAGUGCACCGCCUGGGGAGUAUGCUCGCAAGGGUGAAACUCAAAUGAAUUGACGGGG
Molecule: ribosomal RNA, 394 nt
Filed under: uncultured bacterium
Lineage: Bacteria
Description: partial 16S ribosomal RNA
Rfam family: Bacterial small subunit ribosomal RNA
Source: RNAcentral